Chlorocebus sabaeus (green monkey) is the source of this 385-nucleotide long non-coding RNA. RefSeq lists it as uncharacterized. The record is from RefSeq and is a predicted model, not a curated record. NCBI's taxonomy places the organism in Eukaryota, Metazoa, Chordata, Mammalia, Primates, Cercopithecidae.
CCAGUGCCUUGCCGCGGACCUCCCGCGGACCCGUCACCCUCAGCACCGGCGCCCGGAACAGUUCUGCGAAGAGGGCGGGGAGCAACGACGCCGGUUCGUCCACCGCUCCACGACCCAGCUCCUUCCUGCUUCCCGCGAGGGCUCCUUGCAGACCCACAGACCAAGAGGAUGUAGACACUGAGGCACAGAGAAGCAUCACACUGUUCAACUGAGAGUAGAUCCUCCAUCUGUGCUCGGCCUGCCAGGGAAACUCACCUUUCCUGUUUGAAAUAAUGAACCACCUGGAAACUGAGGAUUGGAUACCUACCCUCCUCUCCCCAUACCUUGCUCCACCCUAUUCUCCACCACCCAAAGCUCGUCUGCUGCCUCACUGUGGACUCACCGA